This 253-nucleotide ribosomal RNA is filed under the name uncultured bacterium. RNAcentral describes it as "partial 16S ribosomal RNA". It matches the Rfam family "Bacterial small subunit ribosomal RNA", at positions 524 to 776 of the family's 1533-position model. The record is from RNAcentral.
UACGUAGGUGGCAAGCGUUGUCCGGAUUUACUGGGCGUAAAGGAUGCGUAGGUGGAUAUUUAAGUGGGAUGUGAAAUACCCGAGCUCAACUUGGGUGCUGCAUUCCAAACUGGAUGUCUAGAGUGCAGGAGAGGUAAGUGGAAUUCCUAGUGUAGCGGUGAAAUGCGUAGAUAUUAGGAAGAACACCAGUGGCGAAGGCGACUUACUGGACUGUAACUGACACUGAGGCAUGAAAGCGUGGGGAGCAAACAGG